CCUACGGGUGGCAGCAGUGGGGAAUAUUGGACAAUGGGCGAAAGCCUGAUCCAGCCAUGCCGCGUGUGUGAAGAAGGCCUUCGGGUUGUAAAGCACUUUCAGUGGGGAAGAAAGCCUUGGGGCUAAUACCCUCGAGGAAGGACAUCACCCACAGAAGAAGCACCGGCUAACUCCGUGCCAGCAGCCGCGGUAAUACGGAGGGUGCGAGCGUUAAUCGGAAUUACUGGGCGUAAAGCGCGCGUAGGCGGUCUGAUAAGCCGGUUGUGAAAGCCCCGGGCUCAACCUGGGAACGGCAGCCGGAACUGUCAGGCUAGAGUGCAGGAGAGGAAGGUAGAAUUCCCGGUGUAGCGGUGAAAUGCGUAGAGAUCGGGAGGAAUACCAGUGGCGAAGGCGGCCUUCUGGACUGACACUGACGCUGAGGUGCGAAAGCGUGGGUAGCAAACAGGAUUAGAUACCCCAGUAGUC
RNAcentral lists this ribosomal RNA (465 nucleotides) under Vreelandella stevensii. RNAcentral's name for it is "partial 16S ribosomal RNA". It matches the Rfam family "Bacterial small subunit ribosomal RNA", at positions 338 to 795 of the family's 1533-position model. Lineage: Bacteria; Pseudomonadati; Pseudomonadota; Gammaproteobacteria; Oceanospirillales; Halomonadaceae. The record is from RNAcentral.